Molecule: unclassified non-coding RNA, 342 nt
Filed under: soil metagenome
Description: partial contains 5.8S ribosomal RNA, internal transcribed spacer 2, and large subunit ribosomal RNA
Rfam family: 5.8S ribosomal RNA (bases 1-120)
Source: RNAcentral
GAUGAAGAACGCAGCAAAAUGCGAUAAGUAAUGUGAAUUGCAGAAUUCAGUGAAUCAUCGAAUCUUUGAACGCACAUUGCGCCCGCCAGUAUUCUGGCGGGCAUGCCUGUUCGAGCGUCAUUUCAACCCUCAAGCCCCCGGGUUUGGUGUUGGGGAUCGGGCUGUACUCCAGCCCGGCCCCGAAAUCUAGUGGCGGUCUCGCUGCAGCCUCCAUUGCGUAGUAGCUAACACCUCGCAACUGGAACGCGGCGCGGCCAAGCCGUUAAACCCCCAAAUUCUGAAUGUUGACCUCGGAUCAGGUAGGAAUACCCGCUGAACUUAAGCAUAUCAAUAAGCGGAGGA